CGUUACAGGUUCUCGGUGUGCUUCUGCCAAAACCCAAAUUUUCUAUGGUUGACCUCGGAUCAGGUAGGGAUACCCGCUGAACUUAAGCAUAUCAAUA
RNAcentral lists this ribosomal RNA (97 nucleotides) under Monilinia laxa. RNAcentral describes it as "partial 28S ribosomal RNA". The record is from RNAcentral. Lineage: Eukaryota; Fungi; Ascomycota; Leotiomycetes; Helotiales; Sclerotiniaceae.